Molecule: ribosomal RNA, 253 nt
Filed under: uncultured bacterium
Lineage: Bacteria
Description: partial 16S ribosomal RNA
Rfam family: Bacterial small subunit ribosomal RNA
Source: RNAcentral
UACGUAGGGGGCGAGCGUUGUCCGGAGUUACUGGGCGUAAAGGGUGCGCAGGCGGGCGUCCGCGUUUGCGGUGAAAGCUCCUGGCUCAACUGGGAGAGGGCCGUGAAGACGGGGCGUCUUGAGGCUCGGAGAGGGACGUGGAAUUCCGGGUGGAGCGGUGAAAUGCGUAGAGAUCCGGAAGAACACCGACGGCGAAGGCAGCGUCCUGGCCGAGGCCUGACGCUCAGGCACGAAAGCGCGGGGAGCAAACAGG